CGAUCCUGGAUGGUGACA
RNAcentral lists this unclassified non-coding RNA (18 nucleotides) under Chlamydomonas reinhardtii. Its description in RNAcentral is "small RNA Cre_1221". The record is from RNAcentral. Lineage: Eukaryota; Viridiplantae; Chlorophyta; Chlorophyceae; Chlamydomonadales; Chlamydomonadaceae.